RNAcentral lists this ribosomal RNA (751 nucleotides) under uncultured beta proteobacterium. RNAcentral describes it as "bacterial SSU rRNA". It matches the Rfam family "Bacterial small subunit ribosomal RNA", at positions 75 to 822 of the family's 1533-position model. The record is from RNAcentral. Lineage: Bacteria; Pseudomonadati; Pseudomonadota; Betaproteobacteria.
CGGGGCAACCUGGCGGCGAGCGGCGAACGGGUGAGUAAUGCAUCGGAACAUGUCCAUGUCGUGGGGGAUAGCCCGGCGAAAGCCGGAUUAAUACCGCAUACGCCCGAGAGGGGAAAGUGGGGGACCGCAAGGCCUCACGCGAUUGGGUUGGCCGAUGUCCGAUUAGCUAGUUGGCGGGGUAAGAGCCCACCAAGGCGAUGAUCGGUAGCUGGUCUGAGAGGAUGAUCAGCCACACUGGGACUGAGACACGGCCCAGACUCCUACGGGAGGCAGCAGUGGGGAAUUUUGGACAAUGGGGGCAACCCUGAUCCAGCCAUUCCGCGUGAGUGAAGAAGGCCUUCGGGUUGUAAAGCUCUUUUGUCCGGAACGAAACGGAGUGCGUGAAUAUCGCGCUCUACUGACGGUACCGGAAGAAUAAGCACCGGCUAACUACGUGCCAGCAGCCGCGGUAAUACGUAGGGUGCGAGCGUUAAUCGGAAUUACUGGGCGUAAAGCGUGCGCAGGCGGUUUUGUAAGCCAGAUGUGAAAUCCCCGGGCUUAACCUGGGAAUGGCAUUUGGGACUGCAAGGCUGGAGUGUGGCAGAGGAGACUGGAAUUCCCGGUGUAGCAGUGAAAUGCGUAGAUAUCGGGAGGAAUACCGAUGGCGAAGGCAGGUCUCUGGGCUGACACUGACGCUCAUGCACGAAAGCGUGGGGAGCAAACAGGAUUAGAUACCCUGGUAGUCCACGCCCUAAACGAUGUCGACUGGUUG